AUACGGAGGGUGCGAGCGUUAAUCGGAAUUACUGGGCGUAAAGGGUGCGUAGGCGGCUUGAUAAGUCGGAUGUGAAAGCCCCGGGCUUAACCUGGGAAUUGCAUUCGAUACUGUCAGGCUAGAGUAUGUCAGAGGUUGGCGGAAUUCCUGGUGUAGCGGUGAAAUGCGUAGAUAUCAGGAGGAACACAAGUGGCGAAGGCGGCUAACUGGGGCAAUACUGACGCUGAGGCACGAAAGCGUGGGGAGCAAACAGGAUUAGAUACCCUAGUAGUCC
RNAcentral lists this ribosomal RNA (274 nucleotides) under uncultured bacterium. RNAcentral describes it as "partial 16S ribosomal RNA". It matches the Rfam family "Bacterial small subunit ribosomal RNA", at positions 523 to 796 of the family's 1533-position model. The record is from RNAcentral.